Molecule: transfer RNA, 85 nt
Filed under: Felis catus (domestic cat)
Lineage: Eukaryota; Metazoa; Chordata; Mammalia; Carnivora; Felidae
Also listed under: 1 other name
Rfam family: tRNA
About the family: Transfer RNA (tRNA) molecules are approximately 80 nucleotides in length. Their secondary structure includes four short double-helical elements and three loops (D, anti-codon, and T loops).
Source: Rfam by way of RNAcentral
GCCUGGGUGGCUCAGUCGGUUGAGCAUCUGACUUCGGCUCAGGUGGUGAUCUCACAGUUUGUGGGAUCGAGCCCCACAUCAGGCU